This 1099-nucleotide ribosomal RNA is filed under the name 'Medicago sativa' phytoplasma. RNAcentral's name for it is "bacterial SSU rRNA". It matches the Rfam family "Bacterial small subunit ribosomal RNA", at positions 263 to 1370 of the family's 1533-position model. The record is from RNAcentral. Lineage: Bacteria; Bacillati; Mycoplasmatota; Mollicutes; Acholeplasmatales; Acholeplasmataceae.
GCCUACCAAGACGAUGAUGUGUAGCUGGACUGAGAGGUUGAACAGCCACAUUGGGACUGAGACACGGCCCAAACUCCUACGGGAGGCAGCAGUAGGGAAUUUUCGGCAAUGGAGGAAACUCUGACCGAGCAACGCCGCGUGAAUGACGAAGUACUUCGGUAUGUAAAGUUCUUUUAUCAAGGAAGAAAAGCAAAUGGCGAACCAUUUGUUUGCCGGUACUUGAUGAAUAAGCCCCGGCUAAUUAUGUGCCAGCAGCCGCGGUAAGACAUAAGGGGCAAGUGUUAUCCGGAAUUAUUGGGCGUAAAGGGUGCGUAGGCGGUCUAGUAAGUCAGUGGUGUAAUGGCAACGCUUAACGUUGUCCGGCUAUUGAAACUGCUAAACUUGAGUUAGAUAGAGGCGAGUGGAAUUCCAUGUGUAGCGGUAAAAUGCGUAAAUAUAUGGAGGAACACCAGAGGCGUAGGCGGCUCGCUGGGUCUUAACUGACGCUGAGGCACGAAAGCGUGGGGAGCAAACAGGAUUAGAUACCCUGGUAGUCCACGCCGUAAACGAUGAGUACUAAGUGUCGGGUUAAACCGGUACUGAAGUUAACACAUUAAGUACUCCGCCUGAGUAGUACGUACGCAAGUAUGAAACUUAAAGGAAUUGACGGGACUCCGCACAAGCGGUGGAUCAUGUUGUUUAAUUCGAAGAUACCCGAAAAACCUUACCAGGUCUUGACAUGUUUUUGCAAAAUGAUAGUAAUAUCGUGGAGGUUACCAGAAACACAGGUGGUGCAUGGUUGUCGUCAGCUCGUGUCGUGAGAUGUUAGGUUAAGUCCUAAAACGAGCGAAACCCUUAUCGUUAGUUGCCAGCACGUUAUGGUGGGGACUUUAACGAGACUGCCAAUGAUAAAUUGGAGGAAGGUGAGGAUCACGUCAAAUCAGCAUGCCCCUUAUGACCUGGGCUACAAACGUGAUACAAUGGCUGUUACAAAGGGUAGCUGAAACGCAAGUUCUUGGCCAAUCCCCAAAAACAGUCCCAGUCCGGAUUGAAGUCUGCAACUCGACUUCAUGAAGUUGGAAUCGCUAGUAAUCGCGAUCACCAUUCCGGGGAUCUUCCG